CCCAACUAUCCCUAUUAAUCAUUACGUCAAUCCUAGAAACCAACAAAAUAGGAUCAACGUCCUAUUUCAUUAUUCCAUGCUAAUGUAUUCAAGCGCGAGCCUGCUUUAAACACUCUAAUUUUUUCAAAGUAACAGUCCUGAUUCCCCACCACACCAAAUUAAUGACAUGAUGGUUCGUCAGAAGGUAGAAAUCAGUAACACCAGUACGUACCGAAGGCACGACCAGCGUACUAAUCCCGAAAUUCAACUACGAGCUUUUUAACUGCAACAACUUUAAUAUACGCUAUUGGAGCUGGAAUUACCGCGGCUGCUGGCACCAGACUUGCCCUCCAA
Molecule: unclassified non-coding RNA, 333 nt
Filed under: uncultured Glomerales
Lineage: Eukaryota; Fungi; Glomeromycota; Glomeromycetes; Glomerales; Glomeraceae
Also listed under: 1 other name
Description: sequence contains 18S rRNA gene
Source: RNAcentral